This 73-nucleotide transfer RNA is filed under the name Camelus bactrianus (Bactrian camel). It matches the Rfam family "tRNA". From Rfam's summary of the family: Transfer RNA (tRNA) molecules are approximately 80 nucleotides in length. Their secondary structure includes four short double-helical elements and three loops (D, anti-codon, and T loops). Lineage: Eukaryota; Metazoa; Chordata; Mammalia; Artiodactyla; Camelidae. The record is from Rfam by way of RNAcentral. RNAcentral also lists the same sequence under 2 other names.
GGGAGUAUGGCUCAAGCAGUAGAGUGCAUGCUUAACAUACAUGAGGUCCUGGGUUCAAUCUCCAGUACCUCCU